UCAUGGCCCUUAUGUCCAGGGCUACACACGUGCUACGAUGGGCGGUACAAAGGGUCGCGAACCCGCGAGGGGGAGCCAAUCCCAAAAAGCCGCUCUCAGUUCGGAUUGCAGGCUGCAACUCGCCUGCAUGAAGCCGGAAUCGCUAGUAAUCGCGGAUCAGCAUGCCGCGGUGAAUACGUUCCCGGGCCUU
RNAcentral lists this ribosomal RNA (190 nucleotides) under uncultured Anoxybacillus sp. Its description in RNAcentral is "partial 16S ribosomal RNA". It matches the Rfam family "Bacterial small subunit ribosomal RNA", at positions 1193 to 1382 of the family's 1533-position model. Lineage: Bacteria; Bacillati; Bacillota; Bacilli; Caryophanales; Anoxybacillaceae. The record is from RNAcentral.